RNAcentral lists this ribosomal RNA (398 nucleotides) under uncultured bacterium. Its description in RNAcentral is "bacterial SSU rRNA". It matches the Rfam family "Bacterial small subunit ribosomal RNA", at positions 28 to 428 of the family's 1533-position model. The record is from RNAcentral.
GACGGACGCUGGCGGCGUGCUUAACACAUGCAAGUCGAGCGGUAAGGCCCUUUCGGGGGUACGACGAGCGGCGAACGGGUGAGUAACACGUGGGUGACCUGCCCUCAGCUCUGGGAUAAGCCUGGGAAACUGGGUCUAAUACUGGAUAUGACUCCACGGUGCAUGUCGUGGGGUGGAAAGCCUUGUGCGGCUGAGGAUGGGCCCGCGGCCUAUCAGCUUGUUGGUGGGGUGANGGCCUACCAAGGCGACGACGGGUAGCCGGCCUGAGAGGGCGACCGGCCACACUGGGACUGAGACACGGCCCAGACUCCUACGGGAGGCAGCAGUGGGGAAUCUUGCGCAAUGGGCGAAAGCCUGACGCAGCGACGCCGCGUGAGGGAUGACGGCCUCGGUUGUAA